This is a non-coding RNA of Postia placenta Mad-698-R, 73 nucleotides long. Lineage: Eukaryota; Fungi; Basidiomycota; Agaricomycetes; Polyporales; Adustoporiaceae. The record is from Rfam.
GCCCCCGUUGUCUAAUGGCUAUGACGUCAGACUUCUAAUCUGGAGGCUGCGGGUUCGAGUCCCGCCGGGGGUA